Long non-coding RNA from Bos taurus (domestic cattle), 2063 nucleotides. The record is from Ensembl. Lineage: Eukaryota; Metazoa; Chordata; Mammalia; Artiodactyla; Bovidae.
GAAUUCUCCUCCAGAGGCCAAAAAUCCCAGCUACUUUCGUGGUUCAGCAACAACCUUUCCAUAUCCUUAUAUCAGCAAGGCAGAAUUAAAUUAUCGGAUUCCUAAAGCAGUUCCCCUUUGGACUUACCUGUGGAAAUUGCUGAAUGGGAAGGGUCAGGGAACUGAGGGUCCAUGAUUUGGUUCAGUAACUUUUGGCAGGCUGACCAAAACCCUCCCCUGCCUUCCCGCUGCUUUUCAUGCAACCCUGUUAAUGACCACCAGCUGUGGGGCCACUCCUCUGACCACUUUGCCUGGCCUCCUGGGUCUUCAGUGCUUUCAGGGCUAAGGGGCCUCUAUAGUCUCCUGCUCUCUGGCUUCCCCCUGCCUCAAGGAUCUCCACCUCCCAGAGCAUUGCCAAUUCAGCAGGAGCUUCCCUGGGUUCAAAAUGGGUCAUAAAGCAGCAGAGACAACUUGCAACAUCAACAACCCAUUUGGCCAGGGAAGUGCUAAUGAAUGUACAGUGCAACGGUGGUUCAAGAAGUUUUGCAAAGGAGAUGAGAGCCUUGAAGAUGAGGAGUGUAGUGGCCAGCCAUCAGAAGUUGACAAUGACAACUGAGAGCCAUCAUUGAAGCUAAUCCUGACAACUACAUGAGAAGUUGACGAAGAACUCAACAUCAACCAUUUUAAUGUCAUGCAGCUUUUGAAGCAAAUUGGAAAGGUGAAAAAGCUCCCUAAAUGUGAGCCUCAGUGAGCUGACCAAAAAUCAAAAAAAUCAUCAUUUUGAAGUGUCAUUUCCCCUUAUUUUAUGCAACAACAAAUCAUUUUUUGAUUGGAUUGUAACAGAUGAUGAGAAGUGGAUUUUAUACAACUGGCAAUGACCAGCUCAGUGCCUGGGCAGAGAAGCAGCUCCAAAGCACUUCCCAAAGCCAAACUAAUACCAAAAAAAGGUAAUGGUCACUGUUUGGUGGUCUGCUGCCCGUCUGAUCCACUACAGCUUUCUGAAUCCUGGCAAAACCAUUACAUCAGAAGUAUGCUUAACAAAUCGAAGAGAUGCACCAAAAACUGCAAGGCCUGCAGGUGGCCUUGAUCAACAGAAUGGGCCCAAUUCUUCUCCAUGACAACACCCAACCGCACAUUGCACAACCAAUGCUUCAAAAGUUGAACAAAUUGCGCUACAAAGUUUUGCCUCAUCCACCAUAUUCACCUGACCUCUAGCCAACCAACUACUACCUCUUCAAGCACCUCAACAACUUUUUGCAGGGAAAAUGCUUUCCAAGAGUUUGUCAAAUCCCAAAGCAUGGAUUUUUAUGCUACAGGAGUAGACAAACUUAUUUCUCAUUGGCAAAAAUGUGUUUCAGACCAUGAAUUUUAAAUCAUUAUAACUAGGCUCAAACACAUCUUUAUUAAACAAAAUAGGAACCAUUAUAAUCAACACAUUUUAUCCAACGAGAAAUAAGUUUGUUUACUCCUGUAGUGUAAAAAAUCCAUGCUUCGGGAUUCAACAAACACUUGGAAAGCAUCUUACCUGCAAAAAGUUGUCGAGAUGCUUGAAGUGAUAGUCAGUAACUGGCUAGAGGUCAGAUGAAUAUGGAGGGUGAGGAAAAACUUUGUUAAACACUAUUGUAGGUUUUGAGGACACAGCUGUGAUGAACAAUUUCCUGCCUCCACAGAGUUACAUUCUAGCAUGGAAUAUAUUUUUUCAGGGACUAAAAUAUUUGUGUUUGCUGCCCAGAGCAUUCCCUUCCCCGUAUAAAUGUUUUAGGGAAUCUCUAAGUUGGUACUCAAAACAUUGUGCAUUCAAUGAUCAGAAAAAAAGAAGUGGAUGGUUUUAAGGUACAUUUCAUUCAGGUGCCAGGUAAACCCUAAGAAGUUAUCUAUGCUCCAGAACAAGUGUACGUUAGAAAAGUACAUUGACUAGCUUAACAAUGUUCUUUGCACUUAUAAUUUCUCUAUCCUGAACUUUGCUAGAUGGAAAAACAUGGCCAAAUCCUGGCAGAUUUCUUUUUCUGGAUUCCAAGAGAACCAUUUCAAUUCUUAUACAUUCUUUCAGACAUAUUGUAAUAUUAUUGAUUUCAAUUAUAUAA